RNAcentral lists this ribosomal RNA (460 nucleotides) under uncultured bacterium. RNAcentral describes it as "partial 16S ribosomal RNA". It matches the Rfam family "Bacterial small subunit ribosomal RNA", at positions 338 to 795 of the family's 1533-position model. The record is from RNAcentral.
CCUACGGGCGGCAGCAGUGAGGAAUAUUGGUCAAUGGCCGGAAGUCUGAACCAGCCAAGUAGCGUGAAGGAUGACUGCCCUAUGGGUUGUAAACUUCUUUUAUCAAGGAAUAAAACGAGGCACGUGUGCCUUUUUGCAUGUACUUUAUGAAUAAGGAUCGGCUAACUCCGUGCCAGCAGCCGCGGUAAUACGGAGGAUCCGAGCGUUAUCCGGAUUUAUUGGGUUUAAAGGGUGCGUAGAUGGGUUGUUAAGUCAGUUGUGAAAGUUUGCGGCUUAACCGUAAAAUUGCAAUUGAUACUGGCAGUCUUGAGUACAGGUGAGGUAGGCGGAAUGCGUGGUGUAGCGGUGAAAUGCUUAGAUAUCACGAAGAACUCCGAUUGCGAAGGCAGCUUACUAAACUGCCACUGACGUUGAUGCUCGAAAGUGUGGGUAUCAAACAGGAUUAGAUACCCGGGUAGUC